GGCAACCCCGAGCUCAGAUACCGCCUGCCCCGCCCGCCACCGCCUCGCCGUCAUCUCCGCCCACCUCGACGCCUCCGCCUCCGCCUCCCCCUCUCUCCCUCUCUCCUCUUCUCCCGUCUCCGCCCACGACACCGUUCCCCCGCCAGGCGACCUCUCCGGCAAGCUCUCCAUAACCGACGAGCGCACCGGCAAGAAGUACGAGUUCCCGAUCUCCAAAGAAGGCACGAUCCGCGCCACCGACAUCAAGAAGAUCACGGCCGGAAAGUACGACAAGGGGCUGAAGCUGUACGAUCCUGGAUACCUCAACACCGCGCCGGUGAGAUCGACGAUCUGUUACAUCGACGGCGAUGAGGGGAUUUUGAGGUACCGGGGGUAUCCGAUCGAGGAGCUGGCGGAGAACAGCACGUAUCUCGAGGUGGCUUACCUCCUAAUGUAUGGGAAUUUGCCGUCGCAGAGUCAGCUGUCGGAUUGGGAGUUUGCGAUUUCUCAGCAUUCAGCUGUUCCGCAGGGUUUAUUGGAUAUUAUACAAUCGAUGCCUCAUGAUGCUCAUCCGAUGGGUGUGGUUGUCAGUGCGUUGAGCGCGCUGUCGGUGUUCCAUCCGGAUGCCAAUCCUGCUCUCAGGGGUCUAGAUCUUUAUCAGUCAAAGCAAGUGAGAGAUAAG
This 661-nucleotide unclassified non-coding RNA is filed under the name Hevea brasiliensis (rubber tree). Lineage: Eukaryota; Viridiplantae; Streptophyta; Magnoliopsida; Malpighiales; Euphorbiaceae. The record is from RNAcentral.